CCGGAACUACGGAAUAACAUGAAGAAAUUUAUGCUAAUACCGUAUACGCCCUUUUGGGGAAAGAUUUAUUGGUUUCGGAUGAGCCCGCGUUGGAUUAGCUUGUUGGUAGGGUAAUGGCCUACCAAGGCGACGAUCCAUAGCUGGUCUGAGAGGAUGAUCAGCCACACUGGGACUGAGACACGGCCCAGACUCCUACGGGAGGCCGCAGUGGGGAAUAUUGGACAAUGGGCGCAAGCCUGAUCCAGCCAUGCCGCGUGAGUGAUGAAGGCCUUAGGGUUGUAAAGCUCUUUCACCGGUGAAGAUAAUGACGGUAACCG
Molecule: ribosomal RNA, 317 nt
Filed under: uncultured Wolbachia sp.
Lineage: Bacteria; Pseudomonadati; Pseudomonadota; Alphaproteobacteria; Rickettsiales; Anaplasmataceae
Description: bacterial SSU rRNA
Rfam family: Bacterial small subunit ribosomal RNA
Source: RNAcentral